AUUGAACGCUGGCGGCAUGCCUUACACAUGCAAGUCGAACGGCAGCACGGACUUCGGUCUGGUGGCGAGUGGCGAACGGGUGAGUAAUGCGUCGGAACGUGCCGAGUAGUGGGGGAUAACGCAGCGAAAGUUGUGCUAAUACCGCAUACGUACUGAGGUAGAAAGUGGGGGACCUUCGGGCCUCACGCUAUUCGAGCGGCCGACGUCUGAUUAGUUAGUAGGUGAGGUAAAGGCUCACCUAGGCGACGAUCAGUAGCGGGUCUGAGAGGAUGAUACGCCACACUGGGACUGAGACACGGCCCAGACUCCUACGGGAGGCAGCAGUGGGGAAUUUUGGACAAUGGGCGAAAGCCUGAUCCAGCCAUGCCGCGUGUCUGAAGAAGGCCUUCGGGUUGUAAAGGACUUUUGUCAGGGAGGAAAUCCCUAGUGCUAAUAACACUGGGGGAUGACAGUACCUGAAGAAUAAGCACCGGCUAACUACGUGCCAGCAGCCGCCGUAA
Molecule: ribosomal RNA, 500 nt
Filed under: uncultured bacterium
Lineage: Bacteria
Description: partial 16S ribosomal RNA
Rfam family: Bacterial small subunit ribosomal RNA
Source: RNAcentral